GUAGGUGGCAAGCGUUGUCCGGAACUAUUGGGCGUAAAGCGCGCGCAGGUGGUUCUUUAAGUCUGAUGUGAAAGCCCCCGGCUCAACCGGGGAGGGUCAUUGGAAACUGGGGAACUUGAGUGCAGGAGAGGAAAGUGGAAUUCCACGUGUAGCGGUGAAAUGCGUAGAUAUGUGGAGGAACACCAGUGGCGAAGGCGACUUUCUGGCCUGUAACUGACACUGAGGCGCGAAAGCGUGGGGAGCAAACAGGGAUUAGAUACCCUGGUAGUCCACGCCGUAAACGAUGAGUGCUAAGUGUUGGGGGGGUUUCCCGCCCCUCAGUGCUGCAGCUAACGCAUUAAGCACUCCGCCUGGGGAUACGGUCGCAAGACUG
This 373-nucleotide ribosomal RNA is filed under the name uncultured organism. RNAcentral's name for it is "partial 16S ribosomal RNA". It matches the Rfam family "Bacterial small subunit ribosomal RNA", at positions 527 to 896 of the family's 1533-position model. The record is from RNAcentral.